GAUAGCUCAGUAACACGUGGCCAAACUACCCUCUGGACGGGAAUACCCUCGGGAAACUGAGGCUAAUUCCCGAUACUACUCGGCGCCUGGAACGGCCCGAGAGCCAAACGCUCCGGCGCCAGAGGCUGUGGCUGCGGCCGAUUAGGUAGACGGUGGGGUAACGGCCCACCGUGCCAGUAAUCGGUACGGGUUGUGAGAGCAAGAGCCCGGAGACGGUAUCUGAGACAAGAUACCGGGCCCUACGGGGCGCAGCAGGCGCGAAACCUUUACACUGCACGCCAGUGCGAUAAGGGGAUCCCCAGUGCGAGGGCAUACAGUCCUCGCUUUUCACCACCGUACGAUGGUGGUGGAACAAGAGCUGGGCAAGACCGGUGCCAGCCGCCGCGGUAAUACCGGCAGCUCGAGUGAUGGCCGUUCUUAUUGGGCCUAAAGCGUCCGUAGCCGGCCAAGUAAGUUCGUCGGGAAAUCCACGCGCUCAACGCGUGGGCGUCCGGCGAAACCUGCUUGGCUUGGGACCGGACGGCCCGAGGGGUACGGCCGGGGUAGGAGUGAAAUCCUGUAAUCCCGGCCGGACCACCGGUGGCGAAAGCGCCUCGGGAGGACGGAUCCGACGGUGAGGGACGAAAGCCAGGGUCACGAACCGGAUUAGAUACCCGGGUAGUCCUGGCUG
Molecule: ribosomal RNA, 670 nt
Filed under: halophilic archaeon
Lineage: Archaea; Methanobacteriati; Methanobacteriota; Halobacteria; Halobacteriales
Description: bacterial SSU rRNA
Rfam family: Archaeal small subunit ribosomal RNA
Source: RNAcentral